GAAAAACCUCUAGCGAGCUAUGCGCCGCCCGUACCCCAAACCGACUCAGGUGAUCAGGUAGAGAAUACCAAGGCGAUCGAGUGAACCAUGGUUAAGGAACUCGGCAAAAUGCCCCCGUAACUUCGGGAGAAGGGGGGCCGGAUUCGUGAGUGGACUUGCUCCACAAAGCGUUGAUGGCCGCAGAGACCAGGCCCAAGCGACUGUUUACUAAAAACACAGGUCCGUGCUAAGUCGUAAGACGAUGUAUACGGACUGACUCCUGCCCGGUGCUGGAAGGUUAAGGGGACCGGUUAGACGUAAGUCGAAGCUGAGAACUUAAGCCCCAGUAAACGGCGGUGGUAACUAUAACCAUCCUAAGGUAGCGAAAUUCCUUGUCGGGUAAGUUCCGACCUGCACGAAUGGAGUAACGACUUGGGCGCUGUCUCAACCGUGGACUCGGCGAAAUUGCACUACGAGUAAAGAUGCUCGUUACGCGCGGCAGGACGGAAAGACCCCGGGACCUUUACUAUAGUUUGGUAUUGGUGUUUGGUUCGGCUUGUGUAGGAUAGGUGGGAGACUGUGAAGCAUUAACGCCAGUUAGUGUGGAGUCAACGUUGAAAUACCACUCUGGUCGUACUAGAUGUCUAACCUAGGUCCAUUAUCUGGAUCAGGGACAGUGCCUGAUGGGUAGUUUAACUGGGGCGGUUGCCUCCUAAAAUGUAACGGAGGCGCUCAAAGGUUCCCUCAGCCUGGUUGGCAAUCAGGUUUCGAGUGUAAGUGCACAAGGGAGCUUGACUGUGAGAGUGACAGCUCGAGCAGGGACGAAAGUCGGAACUAGUGAUCCGGCGCUGGCAUGUGGAAGCGGCGUCGCUCAACGGAUAAAAGGUACCCCGGGGAUAACAGGCUGAUCUUCCCCAAGAGUCCAUAUCGACGGGAUGGUUUGGCACCUCGAUGUCGGCUCGUCGCAUCCUGGGGCUGGAGUAGGUCCCAAGGGUUGGGCUGUUCGCCCAUUAAAGCGGCACGCGAGCUGGGUUUAGAACGUCGUGAGACAGUUCGGUCCCUAUCCGCCGCGCGCGCAGGAAACUUGAGAAAGGCUGUCCCUAGUACGAGAGGACCGGGAUGGACGAACCUCUGGUGUGCCAGUUGUUCCGCCAGGAGCACGGCUGGUUGGCUACGUUCGGAAGUGAUAACCGCUGAAUGCAUCUAAGCGGGAAGCACGUUUCAAGAUGAGGUUUCCCACCGGGUUAACCGGGUAAGGCCCCCAGUAGAUGACUGGGUUGAUAGGCCGGAGGUGUACAGCAGUAAUGCCCAGCCGACCGGUACUAAUAGGCCGAGGGCUUGUCCCUCAA
This 1328-nucleotide ribosomal RNA is filed under the name Nocardioides jejuensis. RNAcentral describes it as "Nocardioides sp. 18JY15-6 partial 23S ribosomal RNA". It matches the Rfam family "Bacterial large subunit ribosomal RNA", at positions 1612 to 2925 of the family's 2925-position model. Lineage: Bacteria; Bacillati; Actinomycetota; Actinomycetes; Propionibacteriales; Nocardioidaceae. The record is from RNAcentral.